RNAcentral lists this long non-coding RNA (2521 nucleotides) under Sus scrofa (pig). RNAcentral's name for it is "lncRNA (ENSSSCG00025026313.1)". The record is from RNAcentral. Lineage: Eukaryota; Metazoa; Chordata; Mammalia; Artiodactyla; Suidae.
GUGAGGGCUGCACUGGGCGUGGCCCCAACGGGCGCUUCCAGGCCUGGGAAGGUUUCCCCUGGGGGCUUCAGGCCUUUCCCCCCAGCUCACCCUGGCACCCUGGCACCCUGGCAGCCUUGCCCUGCUGCUCUCUGCCCCAGCCCCCUCCCUAGGCCACCGCCCCUCAGAGUCUUGCCCUUCCCCACCGUUGACAAUGACACCCCCGGCCGGGCCCCCCCUCCAGAAAGCCCAGGAAACUUCUUAGCUAAGUACAAUGUUUCAACUCCCAGCACACCACACACCCUUUGCUGCAGGCCUCCCGGGGCAGAGGGAAGGGCAGCCCAGGCCCCGCCCCUUCACCCGGGCACAGAGGCCCUGGUCUCCGCCCUAUCCUUGGGCUGCGUUUCUGCUCUGACUUUCUCACAGUCACUAACACUUACAAAUUUAGGUGAAUCUGGCAGAGCAGGAAGGAGGGAAGCAACCACCCAAGAGACUGAUUUUCAAAGGGUGAAUCCCUGGGAGUUCCUGUCCUGGCUCAGCGCACUGCCUGCGUCUGGGCCUCUGCUAACGGACCCACCAACUCCAGUCAUCACUGAAGAUCUGACUUCAGCGUCUCCGCCUCCAGGAAGACUUCCUUCAGCUUCAGGGUGUCUCAAGUGUCCCCCUGGCCUUUCCCAUGCUGCUCCCUUGGGAAGCACUCGCCCAUGUGUGCCUCUGGCCCCAUCAGCUCGGGUCUUUCUGAGGGCAAGUCUGUGUCGUCUGUGUCCUUGACCCCUGGCAGGUCUGCCGCUGUGAAUGAAGCUCUCAGGUGUGGCGGGACAGCCAGGCUGGGGCAGGUGGGAGGGGGGACAAGUCGGGGUUUCUUCCCUUCAGACCUGGGCAGAGUGUCUCCCAUCUGCCAUAAGAAUUAGAGCUGCUCGUGUGAACCCACGUACCUGCAGAGUCGUAGUCACAGGUGACGAAGCUGGGGCUCAUCGGGACAAAGUGGCUCCAAUCACAACUGGCCACUAAGGUCUGCCUCCGGGGGCUGCUUUGUCUGAGACUCAGCUGCCCGGCCCAGGUAUGUUCUGCUCUGAGGCAGGGGACUGAACAAGCUGACCUCUCAUGGGCCUCCAGGUCAGGAUGGGAGCCUUCCAGUGACACAAGCUGAGGCUCCAACCAGGUCUCGGCCCCCUGACCUGCUCACCCACAAGGCAAGUGCCAGCCCUCCCACCAGCCCAACCAGCUCCCAGUUCAGCUGCAGAAACGGCCAAACGUCUCUCUGGAACCCAAACAGGAAGCUGGGGAGAAGGGGGCCAACGGCCGGGACCUCUGAGGCUCCUCCAGGAAACAUGUGGGGAGGGAGAUGGGUGGCCGGGGCAAGGUCAGGCCUGCUCACCCCAUAACCCCCACCCCAGGAGCCCCCCGCAAGCACUGAGAAUCCCCACCUCAUCUCCCUGCUGGCAGGGGACCUGGGAGGGCCUGGGGAAAACAGUUGUCCUCUUACAGAAGACGCUAGGGGGAGGGUUAGCUUUCAGAACCAUCACUCCCGGGUGAAUUUUUUUCCAUAUAUUUUAUUUUUUGCUUUUUUAGGGCCGCACCUGUGGCAUAGGGAAGUUCCCAAGCUAGGGGUUGAAUCAGAGCUACAGCUGCCAGCCUACAACACAGCCACAGCAACUCGGGAUCCUUAACACACUGAGUGAGGCCAGGGAUGUAACCCACGUCCUCAUGGAUCCUAGUUGGGUUCAUUACCGCUGAGCCAUGAUGGGAACUCUCCAUAGAUUUUAUUUUUUUGUAUUAUUUAUUUAUUUCCUGGCCGUCCCCUUGACACAUGGAAGUUCCCAGGCCGGGGAUCAAACCCACGCCACAGCAGUGACCAAGCCACUGCAGUGACAACACCAGAUCCUUAACCCACGGCGCCACAAGGGAAUCUUCCUUUUUUUUUUUUUUUUUUUUAAGAACAGUUUUAGAUUCAUAGCGAAACUGAGCGGCAAAUACAGAGUACCCAUAUACCCCCUGCCCCACACACGCCUAGACUCCCCCACGAUCAACAUCCCCACCCAGCGUGGUACGUUUUUUUUCCAAUUGAUGAACCUACAUGAAGCAUCAUUAUCACCCAAGGCCCAUUAGGGUUCACUGUUGGUGUUGGACAUUCCAUGGGUUUGGACAAAUGUAUGAUGACAGGUAUCCACCGUUAGAGGAUUAUCCAGACUAUUGUCACUACCCUAAAAGUCCUCUGAGCUCUGCCUCUGUGCUCACCCUACUCCCCAGCCCAGCCCUGGCAACCUUUAAUCUUUGUACUGCCUGCAGAGUUUGACCAUUUCCAGAAUGUCAUAGUUGGAAUCAUAGAGUCCGUAGCCUUUUUUCAGAUGGGCUUCUUUCACUUAGUAACACGCAGUGCAUUUCCUCCCUGUCUUUUUAUAGUUUGUUGUUCAUUCACUUUAGCACUGAAUAAUAUCCCAUUGUCUGGAUGUAUCGGAGUUUAUGUCUCCAUUUACCUACUGAAGAACAUCUUGGCUGCUUUCAGGUUGUGGCAGUUGCCAAUAAAGCUGCUAUAAGCAUC